GGGGCAGUAGCUCAGAUGGUAGAGCAACAAGAUUACUUUUCGCUAUUGGCAUAUAAAGUUCCUAUCAAUCACCAGGUUUGUAGGUCACAGGUUCGAGUCCUGUCUGCUCCU
RNAcentral lists this transfer RNA (111 nucleotides) under Chryseobacterium arthrosphaerae. RNAcentral describes it as "tRNA-OTHER". It matches the Rfam family "tRNA". Rfam says of the family: Transfer RNA (tRNA) molecules are approximately 80 nucleotides in length. RNAcentral also lists the same sequence under 1 other name. The record is from RNAcentral. Lineage: Bacteria; Pseudomonadati; Bacteroidota; Flavobacteriia; Flavobacteriales; Weeksellaceae.